UACGUAGGGGGCAAGCGUUGUCCGGAAUCAUUGGGCGUAAAGAGCGUGUAGGCGGUCCGGUAAGUCGGCUGUGAAAGUCCAGGGCUCAACCCUGGGAUGCCGGUCGAUACUGCCGGACUAGAGUUCGGAAGAGGCGAGUGGAAUUCCCGGUGUAGCGGUGAAAUGCGCAGAUAUCGGGAGGAACACCUAUGGCGAAGGCAGCUCGCUGGGACGUUACUGACGCUGGGACGCGAAAGCGUGGGGAGCAAACAGG
Molecule: ribosomal RNA, 253 nt
Filed under: uncultured bacterium
Lineage: Bacteria
Description: partial 16S ribosomal RNA
Rfam family: Bacterial small subunit ribosomal RNA
Source: RNAcentral